Capsicum annuum is the source of this 109-nucleotide non-coding RNA. Lineage: Eukaryota; Viridiplantae; Streptophyta; Magnoliopsida; Solanales; Solanaceae. The record is from Rfam.
AACUGUUGAUGGUAUGGACAUUCCUAAAUAAGUGCAUUGAAGCGCUCCCAAGCAUGACAAAGAUUCUCGUCUGUCUUUUUUUUGAAGCACGCUAUCUCAUUAUGAAGAU